CGGACGGGUGAGUAACGCGUGGAUAACCUGCCUUACACUGGGGGAUAACACUUAGAAAUAGGUGCUAAUACCGCAUAAGCGCACAGCUUUGCAUGAAGCAGUGUGAAAAACUCCGGUGGUAUACGAUGGUUCCGCGUCUGAUUAGCUAGUUGGUGAGGUAAAAGCCCACCAAGGCGACGAUCAGUAGCCGGCCUGAGAGGGUGAACGGCCACAUUGGGACUGAGACACGGCCCAGACUCCUACGGGAGGCAGCAG
This 255-nucleotide ribosomal RNA is filed under the name uncultured bacterium. RNAcentral describes it as "partial 16S ribosomal RNA". It matches the Rfam family "Bacterial small subunit ribosomal RNA", at positions 99 to 354 of the family's 1533-position model. The record is from RNAcentral.